ACUGCCAAGUCGACAAGAUACGGAGGAAGGUGGGGAUGACGUCAAGUCCUCAUGGCCUUUAUGACCAGGGCUACACACGUACUACAAUGGCCGAUACAAAGGGCAGCGACACUGCGAGGUGAAGCCAAUCCCGUAAAAUCGGUCUCAGUCCGGAUUGGAGUCUGCAACUCGACUCCAUGAAGUUGGAAUCGCUAGUAAUCGUGGAUCAGCAUGCCACGGUGAAUACGUUCCCGGGCCUU
RNAcentral lists this ribosomal RNA (239 nucleotides) under uncultured Desulfobulbus sp. RNAcentral's name for it is "partial 16S ribosomal RNA". It matches the Rfam family "Bacterial small subunit ribosomal RNA", at positions 1147 to 1382 of the family's 1533-position model. The record is from RNAcentral. Lineage: Bacteria; Pseudomonadati; Thermodesulfobacteriota; Desulfobulbia; Desulfobulbales; Desulfobulbaceae.